Molecule: long non-coding RNA, 778 nt
Filed under: Mytilus galloprovincialis (Mediterranean mussel)
Lineage: Eukaryota; Metazoa; Mollusca; Bivalvia; Mytilida; Mytilidae
Source: RNAcentral
GGGUACUUAUAAAGUGAGAAACGGAAUCGAAACGAAACGAAACGAAAUAUAACGAAACGAAACGAAAUACAACGAAACGCAACGAAAUACAACGAAACGAAACGAAAUGAAAAAAUGAAGAAACGAAACGAAAUGGAAAAUGAAGAAACGAAAUAAACGAAAUAAACGAAAUAGGCCUAUAUAAAAUAUAUCUUUUACAUUGUUAUAGGAGGUUAGGAUUUUGAUUUUAAACAGAAAAUGUUGUAUGAGUGCGAAUGAGACAACUCUUAUCCAAGCCACAGUGUAGUUUAACUUAGCAAUUAUAGGUCAGAGUACGGCCUUUCAAUACGAACUCAUGAACAAUCACCGAACAUGAUAUAAAGGGUCAAAAAUGAUCAAUGUAAAACUAUUUAAACAGGAAACCAACGCUAUAAUUAAGAUGUGGUUUGAGUGCCAAUGAGACAACUCUCCAUCCAAGUCGCAAUAAAAUUGAGAAUGGAAAUGGGGAAUGUGUCAAAGAGACAACAACCCGACCAAAACAAAAAAACCACAACAGCAGCAGGUCACCAACAGGUCUUCAAUGUAGCGAGAAAUUCCCGCACCCGGAGGCGUCCUUCAGUUGGCCCCUAAACAAAUAUAUACUAGUUCAGUGAUAAUGAACGCCAUACUAAUUUCCAAAUUGUACACAAGAAACUAAAAUUAAAAUAAUACAAGACUAACAAAGGCCAGAGGCUCCUGACUUGGGACAGGCGCAAAAAUGCGGCGGGGUUAAACAUGUUUGUGAGAUCUCAACCCCCCC